CCAUGAUGAUGUUAAUUAGAUUGAAUAUUUGCUCAAUACCUUAACAAAUAAAAGUUAGCUAGCACCCUGAGCUAGACUAUGAUAUCAAGUUUUGCAUAACAGUCCUAGCAAAAUAAUAAUAAACUUGUGCAUCUUCUAAACUUGCAUCUUUACUUGUAGCUUCAAUCUUCAAAACCUGUAAGUACAAAAGUUUGAAAAGAUGAUAAAUAACUAUAAUAUAUGUAAAUUUAAAACUAGCAAUGGUUAAAGUGUUUAUCCUAAAAGCAGUCUAAAUUCACCAGGUGUUAUCCAACAAUAUCAACAAGACUACAUGAAUAUAAGUAAAAUUAAUUAGAAAAGCUUUGGGAUGGUAAAUCAAAUUUUGGUUCGAUAAAUUCCGAUACGGUAAUUUGAGAUUUACCAUUCAAGAGAGCAACUAUUACGAACAAAACACAACAUCACUUGGUAUUUUGAAUCAUGAGAGAAUAAUAUCAUCUACUUCUACUGAGCAUGGACAUUACCAGUUAUGUGACAUACAACAAAUAAACAUAACAUUCAAAAUCAUGUUCUACCAAUAUAAUUCAAAAUAAGAUGUGGCAAGUUUCUCAUAGAAUUCACAAGAUUAAUCUUUUGUCUAGCGGCUCUAACUUUGAAUUCUCACAUGCUUGGAGGAAAGAAAACAUUAUAGCAGAUAAGCUUGCUAAUUGCAGCGAAGUUUCACGAAUAAAAUAUUUAUUUAGUGUUGCCCGUAAUCCGUGAGAUUAUAGUACUACACCAAGCUUGAAGGAAACAAUGUUCUUGUCGAGUAGAGUUGAACAUCCAAACCGAUAAAUCAAUCUUUAUUCUAGUUGCAAAGGAAACUCCAAGCAGUCUGAAUGUCUACAAUUACAAUCCAUCAGAAAUCCAAGCACUUUGUUAUGAAGUCACUGGCAUCAUUAGAAAGAACACCACGGAGAAUAAAUAAUGCCAUGUCACAUAAGCUUGUGCAAAUAUUCAUGUCACGACCCAAACUCCCUCUGUAUAACAUCGUGACGGCACCUAGUCUCUACGACUAGGUAAGCCUAACAAAUUACGGAAAAUAAUAACCGAAAGUAAAAUUUGGCAACUAACAACAAUGGAUACCUGAAUAAUUAGUAACAAUGCCGUUCGGCAUGUACGAUAACCAAUACUCUAUAAAUACACAGUCUUCCCAAAACCUGGAAUAUCAUAAGUCACAAGCUACAGAAGGAAACUAGUAUCUCUAUACACUAGAGUCUAACAAAAAAAGUACGGAAGGUAGUCUCAAAAGAAAAUGUGCAGGGAGAACUCCCGAGGAACCGCCUCGUAGUCUCAAAAGAAAAUGUGCAGGGAGAACUCCCGAGGAACCGCCUCGUAGUCUCAAAAGUAAAUGUACAGGGAAAACUCCCGAGGAACCGUCUCGUAGUCUCAAAGUAAAUAUCCAGGGAGAACUCCCGAGGAACCUCCUCGUAGUCUCAAAGUAAACACACAGCUCGAACCGAUAAAUACCAUAGUUAACAACAAAAUUUCUACAGUUAUACUGACAAAGAACAAGAAAAAACAGAAAAUCAACUAGGCAUGCUUCACGGAGUUCUAAUAAGUAAUUAAAGCACUUAGACAUGCGAUAUUAGAUUAAACUGGAUAGCUACACAUGUUAGAAUAGCUCAAUACAAAUGAAAACUAACUAAUACUCAUUUAAACGGUAUAACUCAAAUUAAAGAAAAAAUAGAUUACUACACAGUAAAAUAAAUCGGGGUUUACAACAAAUAUUCUGUGUACGUACUCGUCACCUCACGUACACGACGCUCAAAUAUCACAACAGUAUCAAAUCCUAAGGGUAUUUCCCCCCCACAAGGUUAGACAAGCCACUUACCUCGAACCAAGCUCAAUCAAUCAGUAACAAUGCCUUUUCCACGAAUAUUCGACAAAGCAAGAAAUUAGAAAAUCGCCGCAAAAAGUCAACCCGGGCCCACGUGUCGGAAUCGGGUAAAAGUCACAAAAUAUGAACACCCAUUCACUCGUACCAAAAUUAUCCAAAUCCGAUGUCAAAAUCCCAAUCAAAACCCAAAAUCUUUGUUGAAGAACUUCUUUCCAUUUCACCCAAAAAUUUACCCUAAAUCCGAAAUUAAAGGGUGGGAUCAACUAUAGAUUAAUGAGAUAUAACUAUAAAAGAGUUAAGAAUCGUUACCCACAAGCUUCCUGUGAAAAUCCCUCGAAAUGUUGCCUCAAUCCGAGCUCUCUACAUCCAAAAAUGGAGAAUGAAAUCAAACCCUCGCACUUAGCCCUUUUUUGCCUAGCGAUUUCGCACAUGCGGGCCAAGAAUUGCACCUGCGUCACCGCACCUGCGAAAUUCCCAUCGCAGGUGCGGAUUCCACUUAAAAACUCAGCGUCCGCUUCUGUGAUCAAAGGGUCGCACCUGCAUAUGCGCACCUACGGACCCAUGUCCGCUUCUGCUGUCUUCUUCCGCUCCUGCGGGUCGUUGAGUGCUUCUGCGGGCAUCGCAGAUGCGACACCUCCUUCGCACCUGCGAUCCCAGGAAACUCCUCUCUUUUCCGCUUCUACACUUGCGAUCCCGCACAUGUGGUCUUCCCACCGCAGGUGCGAAAACACCAGAACUCAGAUAGCUUUAGCAAUUGCAUAAGUCCAAAACUCAAUCCGUUAAGCAUUCAAACACACCCGAGGCCCCUGGGACCUCAACCAAACAUACCAACUAGUACUAAAUUACCAUACGGAAUUAGUCGAGCCCUCAAAUCACAUCAAACAAUGCUAAAAACACGAAUCACCAUCCAAUUCAAACUUAAUGAACUUGAAACUUUAAAUUUCUAUAACCGAUGCCGAAACCUAUCAAACCACGCCCGAUUGAUCUCAAAUUAUGCACACAAGUCAUAUUCAACAUUACGGACCUACUCCAACUUCCGAAAUCAGAAUAUGAUCCCGAUAUCAAAAAGUUCACUUCCGGUCAAAAUCUCCAAAAAUUCAACUUUCGCCAUUUCAAGCCUAAAUCAGCUACAGACCUCCAAAACAUAAUCCGGACACGCCCCUAAGUCCAAAAUACCCAACGGAGCUAACGGAAUCGUCAGAACUCCAUUCCGGAGUUAUCUUCACACAGUUCUGCCUACACUCAAAAUCCUAAGGCUUAAGCUUCCGUUUAGGGACUAAGUAUCCCUAAAUACUCUGAAACUAAAAACAAAACCUCCCGAUAAGUCACAUAAGCAGAAAAAGAUAUGGGAGAAGCAGUUAAUUGGGGAUCGGGGCUAUUACUCUCAAAACGAUCGGCUGAGUCGUUACAUUCUCCCCCUCUUAAAAUAAGCGUUCGUCUUCGAACGGGCAUAGAGACAUACCUGAAGUGGUAAAUAGAUGAGGAUAACGGCUGCACAUAUCCUGCUCGGUCUCCCAAGUCGCCUCCUCCACACAAGGUGCAGGGAGUAACGUGAGUACGCCAACUCAGUAAGUAACAACAAUAAAUAAGGACUGAGCAAUAGUGACGAGCAAUAAAGCAUAUAACGUUCAUAUCAGGAAAUCUCAAUAAAAUACCACAUGCUUUUAAAAUUAGGAUUUGAAUCAAAACAUCUCGUUUAAACCCAAUUCCAGUAAAAAUCAUUUAAAGAUAUUUUUCAACAGUUUUCAAACAGAGGAAAAAGGAAAAAGUGAGCAAAAAUGAUGUAAUCAUAAACAGCCCCUCGGGCAAAACAUCACUCAUAUACAGCCCCUCGGGCAAACCUCACAGUCACUCGUACCACUCGAGCAUACCUCACAAUCACUCUUUUCCACUCGGGCAUACCUCACAAUCACUCAUGCCUCCCAGUCACUCAGCACUCGGCACUCGCACUCAGUAGGUACCUGCACUCACUGAGGGUGUGUACAGACUCCGGAGGGGUUCUUUCAGCCCAAGCGCUAUAUCAAGCCAAAUCAUGGCAUAAAUCACUCAGGCCCUCGGCCUAUAUCAAGCAUGUUGCGGUGUGCAUCUCGAUCCCAUAAAUAUGUAACAUACUACGGCGUGCAGCCCGAUCCCAUAAAUAUCCUCAAAAUUCAGGCCCUCGGCCUCACUCAGUCAUAAACCUCUCAAGCCACUCGAGCAUUUUAGUAAAACAGGGCAUUCGGCCCAAAAUAUUUAUAUGCAUCAAAAUAGAGUCAUAAAACUGAGUUAUGUGGUAAACAAGUAUAAACAUGACUGAGUAUAGAUUUUCAAUUGAAAACAGUGAGAGGAUAGUAAGAAAAGGCCCCUAAGGGUCCAAACAGCACUAGCACAAGGUCCAAACAUGACAUUCAGCCCAAUUUACAGAAACUUUUUCUAAAAUAUAUAAGUAUCAUAUAGUUUCAACAAAGUAUGAAACUUUACAGUUGCUACGGGACGUACCAAGUUACAAUCUCCAACAGUGCACGACCACACGCCCGUCACCUAGCAUGUGUGUCACUAACAAUAGUAGAAUGAUACAAAAUUUGGGGUUUCGUACCCUCAGGACUAGAUUUACAAUCGUUACUUACCUCAAACCGGUCAAAUCUCUACCCCGCAAUGCUCUUGCCUCUGGACUCGGCCUCCAAAUGCUCCGAAUCUAUUCACAAUCAGUACAAUACCAUCAAUACGAGCUAAUGGAAUGAAUUCCACAAGAAAAGCUAUAAAAUUAGACCAAAAUCCGAAAUUGGCUCAAACCCGGCCCCCAGGCCCAUGUCUUGAAAUCCGACAAAAUUUACAAAACUAGAAAGCCCAUUCACUCACGAGUGUAACCAUAUCAAAUUCAUAAAAAUCCGACAUUAUUUGGUCCUUCAAAUCCUUAAAUUACUCCUCCAAAAAUCUCAAGCCCUAACACCUCAUUUUCAAUGGGAACUCAAUGUGAAAUCACCAUAUAUACGAGUAUUAGGGCUCAAGUAACUUACCUCAAUGAAACCCCCCUUGAUUCCCUCUUCAAAUCUCUCCCAAAAGCUCCAAAACCAAAUAGAAAUGGUGAAGAAUGCACCAAAAUUCGCGAAGUGUGCAAUAUGUACCCUUUGCCCAGGUUUCUCACACCUGCGGACAUUUACUCGCACCCGCGCGACCGCACCUGCGGUCCAAGGAACUGCACCUGCGCAACUUACUUAUCCGCCAAGACUCCGCAUCUGUGGCAAACCCGUCGCACCUGCGCGUGGCGCGCCGCAUCUGCGAAGCCAACCUUCUUCCUUCCUUCCGUAUUUGCACCCAAGGCUCGCACCUGCGGGCUCGCACAUGCGCAUCCUGCCUAGCCCAGCAUUGCCCGCACCUGCGAACCCUCUUUGCGCACCUGCGACUCCUCCUUCCGCAGGUGCGGAAAUAGCAGAAGCAGCAGCUCCAGCUGUAAAUUCCAACUUCGACAAAUCCGUUAACCAUCAGGAAUCACCCCGAGGCCAUCGGGACCUCAACCAAAAAUACCAACAAGUCAUAUAUCAACAUACAAACUUAGUCGAACCUUCGAAUUACUCAAAACAACAUCCAAACACCAAAUUACCCUCGGAUUCAAGUCUAAGAACUUCUAAAUUUCCAAAUUCGACAACCGAUGCCGAAACCAACCAAACCAUGUCCGAAUCACCUUAAAUUUUGCACACACGUCACAAAUGACACUACGAACCUAUUCCAACUUCCGAAAUUCUGUUCCGACCCCGAUAUCAAAUUUUCUACUGCUGACCAAAAUCGCCAAAUUUCCAACUUCGCCAAUUCAAGCCUAAUUCUACCACGAACCUCCAAAUUUCAUUCCGGACACACUCCUAAGUUCAAAAUCACCUAACUAAGCUAAGGGAAGUAUCAGAAUUCAAAUCCGACAUCGUUUACACAUAGGUUAACAUCCAGUUAACUUUUCCAACUUAAGUUUCUACUUAAGAGACUAAGUGUCUCAAUUAGCUCUGAAAUCACUUCAGUCCCUAACCAACUAACCCGAUAUAUCAUAAUAUAGCUGAAUAAUACAAAAAGAAGGAGAAAUAGGAAAAAUGGGGCUAUAACUCUCGAAACGACCGGCCGGGUCGUUACAGUAUGAAACCCCGAACUAUGUGUUAUGUGAUUGGUUUUGAGGUGACGCACAUGCUAGGUGACGGGCGUGUGGGCGUGCACCGUAGAAAUUGUGACUUGGUCAAAUUCCAUGAAAUUGUAUAGUUGUAUAAUCUAUUGAUACCAGUACAUUAUCUAUGUGCUAGAGAAAAUUGAGUUGAGACUCGUAUUAUAAAUCAUGUUUAGACAUAUAUUGUUAUUAUUAGUACCCACUAGGAUCAUUUCUAUGGUUGAAUAAUAUAUUCAUAUUGUAAUUUCACACUCAGUCAUGUUUAUUCAUUUCAUAUCAUAUCUCAGUCUCUGUUGCUAUUUGUUAAUACAUCAUAUUAUCAUUUUGGGCUGAUUAUAAUGAUUUCUAAGAGCCCGAGAGACUGGAGAGGUAGAUGACUGAGUGAGGCCGCUGGCCUAAUUGUGAGGAUAUUAUGAGAUCGAGUUGCACGCCGCAACAUGUUUUAUUGAUUUACGCCAUGAUUAGCUUGAUAUAGCGCUUGGGCUGAAGGAGCCCCUCCGAAGUUUGUACACACCUCCAGUGAGCAUAGGUACCUACUAAGUGUGAGUGUUGAGUGCCGAAUGAUGAGUGACUGUGAGGAAAGAGUGAGUUUGAGGUUGGAGUGAAUGGGAGGACUGAGUGACUGUUACUCUGAGAGGAUGCAUUGAUUUCAUUAUUUGUUGCAUUUCAGCUGUCAUAUAUCAGUAUUUUGGAAAUUUCGGAAAAAUAUUAUUUUCUGUUUCGGUCAAACUUGAUAUGAAAUUUCAAUGAAAUAUUAAAUAUUGAACUUGAGAGCAUGCCUACUCUUUUAUAUUGGAAAGUAUUGUAUUUGGACUUAGCUGAGAAGCUCGUUACUACUUUCAGUUCUUUAUUUAUUAUUGUUACUUAUUGAGUUGGUUGUACUCAUACUAUAUCUUGCACUUCGUGUGCAGAUCCAGGUGAUCCCGGAUACAGUGGGUGUUGAUUCUUUCACACAGUCGAUUUUUCGGAGAUUCAGAGAUAGCUGCCAUGUUUCGCAGACCUUGUCUCUCCUUCCCUAUCUUUUUGUUUAUUGUAUUUGGUCUCAGAUUAUUAUAGACCUUAUUUUCUAGACUUGUAAUAUAUAGAUGCUCAUGUACUCAGUGACACCAGGUUUUGGGAGUGUUUGUAUCGGUAUUUGCGAGACUUGUGGAUUGUGUUUAAAUAUUAUAUUUUCAAACUUAAAAGAAAUUUGGUUUGUUGAGAUUAUCGGCUUGCCUAGUAUCGAGAUAGGCGCCAUCACGACAGGUUAGGAUUUUGGGUCGUGAUACUUACUUUACUAUAGAGGUAUAUGUACGGAUCAUGGUUCAAGAUCAAAAGUUGAUUCAAAAGUUGAUUCAAGAAUCAACUUCAAUCUUAAAAUCGUUCAUCCACUAUCAGUCAUAAAUGAAAAACACUCCAUAAUUAAAACAAACAGCAUAUAUCUUAUCACAACCAAGAAUUUUGAUUUAUUAGUCUUUUUCAAACUCAUUUUGAAUCCAAAAAGAUUAAUUCAAUCAGUGAAGAUAAGAAUACUUACUACUAAUACAAUAUUUUAAUUUCAAAAACAAAUCAAAACCAAAACAUAAUCGUGCAAAAGGAUUGAAAUUUAUUUUUCCCAAGUAAAAAGGCUUGAUCUUUAUUAGGCCUCACGAGAAAAUAGCAGUAAAAAGACAAUCAAUUAGACUUCUACAAGCUAAUCUCUGAUUGGAAAAAAGAAAAAAAGAAUUCUGACAAAAAUAAGAACACCCAAUUACUACUACAAUAUUACUAUAAGUUAAUAAACAAAUCAAAAUCAGAACAUAAUCGAGAAAAAGGCUUGUGUCAAAAAGCAAGCUCAUUUAAAUCAAUGAAAAAAGAAGGAAAUUCAAAGAAAAGCCCAGGGAAUAAAUAAGAAUACACAAUUACUACAACAACAUUCCAGUUUCCAAAGUUAAAUAAAAUCAGAAAUAAUCUAGAAAAAGUGCUGAUCUUUAUUAGUAAAACAAAAAAACUAAUAUGAAAAACACGCUCACUUAAUACCCCCAAAACAAUAGAACUAACUCUCUGGAAUGAGCAGUAAAAAAAGAUAAGAAUACCCUUUUCGCUGAUUAUACAAAAGAAAAAAUACCAGAUUAUGAAACCUUACCAAUUUUUCAAUGUUAGAGAAGAAAAAGAAGAAGAACUCGGAUAAAGCAAAGUAAUCAACAACUUGAAAGAGGGGGCGUACCUUGGAUUCUCAAACGAGCAAGAUGGAAACUUGGGGAGAUUUGGAUUCGCACACUACCAGAUUCACAACCUGUGUUUUGAGAAAACAGAGAUAAAGAAGAUGGGAAGAGCUUGGCGGAGUACCAGGGCAAAGCUGUGCGGGAGUUGUGUUUUGAGA
RNAcentral lists this long non-coding RNA (8319 nucleotides) under Nicotiana tabacum (common tobacco). Its description in RNAcentral is "long non-coding RNA (NTAB_LNC019638)". The record is from RNAcentral. Lineage: Eukaryota; Viridiplantae; Streptophyta; Magnoliopsida; Solanales; Solanaceae.